This 387-nucleotide ribosomal RNA is filed under the name uncultured bacterium. RNAcentral's name for it is "bacterial SSU rRNA". It matches the Rfam family "Bacterial small subunit ribosomal RNA", at positions 28 to 416 of the family's 1533-position model. The record is from RNAcentral.
GACGAACGCUGGCGGCGUGCUUAACACAUGCAAGUCGAGCGGUAAGGCCCUUUCGGGGGUACACGAGCGGCGAACGGGUGAGUAGCACGUGGGUGACCUGCCCUCAGCUCUGGGAUAAGCCUGGGAAACCGGGUCUAAUACUGGAUAUGACUCCAUGACGCAUGUUGUGGGGUGGAAAGCCUUGUGCGGCUGAGGAUGGGCCCGCGGCCUAUCAGCUUGUUGGUGGGGUGAUGGCCUACCAAGGCGACGACGGGUAGCCGGCCUGAGAGGGCGACCGGCCACACUGGGACUGAGACACGGCCCAGACUCCUACGGGAGGCAGCAGUGGGGAAUCUUGCGCAAUGGGCGAAAGCCUGACGCAGCGACGCCGCGUGAGGGAUGACGCCU